CUCCAGUUCUGGAACAAAUGUUAGUGUCGUAAAAUUGCAGGAUGCAUUUUACCAUACGAGAAGCAAACAUAUCAGCCAUCGCAAAAAUAAACAUGUUUUCUUUUUGAGUGAAACAGUUUCAUUUCAUCGGCGAGGAAGGCCUAGUUUUAUAUUGUGUUUAAGGGUCAGGUGGCAGGAAACAAAAAUGAUUUUUUUCGUUUUCCGAAGGUCGGCAAUGCUACGGACUUAUAUUGCGCACUGACUUCAUCGAAUUCCCUGCAGGAAAAAAACUGUACCAGCCAGGUUAAAUGAUCCGAUGAACGAAAACGCUAUGCUGGAGUGAUGUAUCAGCUGAAAUUAUUCUUUUAAUAUUAGAAACUAAACAUGUUUAAAUAUAAA
Molecule: long non-coding RNA, 378 nt
Organism: Armigeres subalbatus
Lineage: Eukaryota; Metazoa; Arthropoda; Insecta; Diptera; Culicidae
Exons: 3
Source: RefSeq, a predicted model, not a curated record